This 466-nucleotide ribosomal RNA is filed under the name uncultured bacterium. RNAcentral's name for it is "partial 16S ribosomal RNA". It matches the Rfam family "Bacterial small subunit ribosomal RNA", at positions 28 to 507 of the family's 1533-position model. The record is from RNAcentral.
GACGAACGCUGGCGGCGUGCUUAACACAUGCAAGUCGAACGGAAAGGCCUCAGUUUGCUGGGGUACUCGAGUGGCGAACGGGUGAGUAACACGUGGGUAAGCUGCCUUUCACUCAGUGAGAAACUUGGGAAACUGGGGCUAAUACCGGAUAUGAACUCCUUUUAGGUGGGGUGUUGUAAAGAGUUUUCGGUGCGGGGUGGGUUCGCGGCGUAUCAGCUUGUUGGUGGGGUAUUGGCCUACCAAGGCGUCGACGGGUAGCCGGCGUGAGAGGGUGUCCGGCAACAUUGGGCCUGAGAUACGGCCCAGAGUCCUACGGGAGGCAGCAGUGGGGAAUAUUGCACAAUGGGCGGAAGCCUGAUGCAGCGACGCCGCGUGCGGGAUGACGGCCUUCGGGUUGUAAACACCUUUCGCCAGGGACGAAGCUUUAUUGACGGUAACCUGUAAAAGAGCAACGGGUUACUUCGUG